UUGUGUUUGUUGGUGAACUACUCUCGAAAGAGAUGAAAAGAGGGGCGAAGAGAAGAGCGUUCUUGCCAGAGCAUUGGAUGCUGGGAGGAAAGAGGUAGGCGAGUAAGGGUUGGCGAGGAGGGUGGUGGCGUCAACGGGGUGUGACUCGCAAAAGGAGGAAAUCUAUUGCCGGAAGUGAGUAUAUUCAAGCGGCAGUCUGCGGUGCGUGUAUGGAAAUUCGAGACCGCCCUACCACGAAAGGGUCCUUCCCGAAACCCAAGGGAAGCCGCACGCGACGACGAUUUGCUCGAAGAAGAAAAAAAACGGAAAGACUGCAGAAGAAAAAGAAAAAGAAGAUAGAUUUUCGGCUGUCGUCGAAAAUAAGAAAUGUAAAAAGGUCGACGUUGGAACAAACAAAAAGAUACAAUUUUCAGAAAGCAAAAACGUCGAAGCGAAUGAUACGUGGUACUGCGUGCGAAAAAACACGUCGGCCAAGUCCCACGGCUCCUUGGAUCGCAGUCUAAUAAUCGCGAGAGAUACAGUGCUCAUGCGAGGUAAUUCCAAUCAGAAAUUAAGUCGAGGCCUAUCGGAGAUCGCAAGAUGGAUCGUGUCUCUCCCCCUCUCUCUCUUUUCUUCAACAAAGAACAAGAAGAAGCGUUGCGGAGGUGAAGGAGGUAGACGAUAUGAAAGGAGGAGAGGGAGAAAGGAUGGGGAAGGAGUAUGGUGGCAGGAUGCUGUGCUCUUGUCUGAUUCAUAUAAUGAAAUGUCUGCGAGUUGAUGAGCUCGGAGGCCCGGUAAGUAUAGCGUUGAGUCCUGGCCCGUGACCCUCGUCCUGUAAGAAGAAAAAGAGCCGAGGGCAAGAAAGGAAUACGAAGGGGAUGGAGAGAGAAAGAUAAAGAGAGGAAGAGAAAGAGAGGGAGAGAAAGAGAAAAGCAGAAGAGAAGAGAAUCGAAUACAUCACGUCGCGUACGAGAUUCAUCUCAUAGUUCUCACCUAACAAUAAGUACUUAGUAUUUCACGAAUGUCUCGUUAAUGCGAUACUUGUCCGUUCUUCGCAUGAUAUUACAGACAUUUAUAAAUAUUCUCCAUAGAUGAAAUUAUGCUAUAUUGUUUCAACAUAAUAAUCAUAAAAUUGAUAAAAUUGUAGUGGUUCAUA
Long non-coding RNA from Vespula pensylvanica (western yellowjacket), 1135 nucleotides. RefSeq lists it as uncharacterized. The record is from RefSeq and is a predicted model, not a curated record. The transcript has 3 exons. NCBI's taxonomy places the organism in Eukaryota, Metazoa, Arthropoda, Insecta, Hymenoptera, Vespidae.